This is a small nuclear RNA of Cercocebus atys (sooty mangabey), 107 nucleotides long. NCBI's taxonomy places the organism in Eukaryota, Metazoa, Chordata, Mammalia, Primates, Cercopithecidae. The record is from Ensembl.
GUGCUCCCUUUGGCGGCACAUAUGCUAAAAUUGGAAUGAUACAGAGAAAAUUAGCAUGGCCUCUGAGCAAGAAUGACACACAAAUUCAUGAAGCAUUCCAUAUAUAA